CAGUCGGAUUUCUCCAAUAGAAAUUUUUCGUCCGGGCUUCUAUAGCAGAUGACUUUCAUUUGCAGCAUCAACACCUAAGGCACCCAAGAACAGUUAACCCAUCAGCAACCUCAAAAAUAUCCGAGCUUCUCUUAGAUUGCUGAGACAGAGAGCUAUUCCGUUUCACCAGACGUCCCAACCAAGCUUCAGUUGUCUGGCCCGAACUCCCCGGCA
This 213-nucleotide long non-coding RNA is filed under the name Elaeis guineensis (African oil palm). Its description in RNAcentral is "long non-coding RNA (EGUI_LNC080333)". The record is from RNAcentral. Lineage: Eukaryota; Viridiplantae; Streptophyta; Magnoliopsida; Arecales; Arecaceae.